Long non-coding RNA from Oncorhynchus tshawytscha (Chinook salmon), 1407 nucleotides. The record is from Ensembl. Lineage: Eukaryota; Metazoa; Chordata; Actinopteri; Salmoniformes; Salmonidae.
GUUCUCACGUACACACUGCCCGUUCGCUUGGAGUUUGUACUGCUCCUCUCAGGUCUAGUGUAAAUAAAGUGCUCAGCCCGCCAGCGUUGCAACUAGAAUUAAGCUCCCUGUGAGCUGAAGCAACAGUUCAGCUGUUGGUGAGGGAGGGAGACUUGUGGAAAACAAAACCUGUUCACCCUUCACAUCAUUCUCUUGAGUCGUGUUCAGGAUAGGGAGAAAACUAUUUCGAAACCGAGAGCUACUGCCUGAAUUUGUACAAUAAGAACACAGCUUUUUGUGUUCUGUUGUGAAACGUUUUGCUAUGGUGUGCCCUACUGGGCACAACCCUGUUCAGUUCCUUCUCAGAAGAAUCCAUCCUGACUUGCUUUCAACUUUCAAUUCUUGGCCAGAGCCUUAAAGUGUGUCUACAAUGAAGACAAAUGAAGUUAAUAUAUCUUUUGAAAAUAUUUCACUGUUUAAUACUUGGUGACACAACACCCAGCAAGAAUUACCAGCUUGCCAAAUCAAGUUUAUAAAGCAGGACUCUUGUUACUCUCUGCAGCGGGUAGUCUCAUGUAGGCUAGGCAUGCAUUUCUCAGAAAUCACAUACAGCAUUCUUUCUGUCUGCUCAGAAAAAUUUAGGGGAUCUGUUGGCCUGUCUGUCAAUCGUAUAUGUGUUUAUUAUCUACAUCAGGUUUCGGAUGGCUGUACAUUUUAAUUUAUAUAGUGAUUGAAUGAUAAACUUAAGAAACAGAGAUUUCAUCCAUAGCACUGCAGUUUAAAACAGAUGUUCAGGAAUGAAAAUAUGUUAUGAGAGUUUGUCAAAUCAUCCUCAGUCUUUUUCAAGUUUUCUAUUUCGUUGUUUUAUUGUAUAAAUAGCCUCCAAAUAUAAUAUUGCAUUUAUAAGGCCUCUUACAAUUUAUACAUAAUUCUAUAUUGUGAGCUUUAAUGAGGAAUACAUUUAUCACAUCUGAAUAUAAGAAAUUAAACACAUUUUUAGAACCAAGGCAGUUCAGGUCCAAAAUCACUUCUGAUAAGAGUUAUGUUGUUAAUCCAUGAUCAUGUGCAUUGUUCUUUAAAUGGCUCUCAUGAUUAGGGAGGUGAAAUUAAAUCUGCUUUACAAUUAAGAUUAUAAAAUCAAAGUUCACAUAGGCUACUGUUUCUCUCUCCCUGCGCAUCUUUGGUAGCCAAACGUAUGUCUUUAUGGUUGAAUAAGAAUCACUGUUAUAAUCAUUGGCCAGUACAGAAAAUUAAGUAAAACCACAAGUACAAAUCCCUACCUCCAUCCAUGGCUAAUUUAGGAAAGGGACCAUUUUAGCUAGCUAGCCACCAAGGACAACAACAAAAUGAGAUGCAACAAUUCAAGGUUUAUUCUGUCAAUGACGUUUUGCUUUUGAUGUGAUUGGUGUGAAGACAAAUCCAAACUGG